This 433-nucleotide ribosomal RNA is filed under the name uncultured bacterium. RNAcentral's name for it is "partial 16S ribosomal RNA". It matches the Rfam family "Bacterial small subunit ribosomal RNA", at positions 29 to 507 of the family's 1533-position model. The record is from RNAcentral.
AACGAACGCUGGCGGCAGGCCUAACACAUGCAAGUCGAGCGAGGACUUCGGUUCUAGCGGCGGACGGGUGAGUAACGCGUGGGAAUGUGCCCUUCUCUACGGAAUAGCCCUGGGAAACUGGGAGUAAUACCGUAUACGCCCUUUUGGGGAAAGAUUUAUCGGAGAAGGAUCAGCCCGCGUUGGAUUAGGUAGUUGGUGGGGUAAUGGCCUACCAAGCCGACGAUCCAUAGCUGGUUUGAGAGGAUGAUCAGCCACACUGGGACUGAGACACGGCCCAGACUUCCUCGGGAGGCAGGCGGGGGGAAUCCUAGGCAAUGGGGGCAACCCUGAUCUAGCCAUGCCGCGUGAGUGAUGAAGGCCUUAGGGUUGUAAAGCUCUUUCAGCUGGGAAGAUAAUGACGGUACCAGCAGAAGAAGCCCCGGCUAACUCCGUG